AACACAUUAACUGACCUUACUUUCAGCUAUCUGAAAGGAAAAUUUAUUUGGCAGUUUGAGGCUUUGAGGUGGAAAGGACAAGUAUGUCUUGCAUAAGAAUUAUUUUUUGAAGAAGUAUUACUAUUAGUUUUUGUUGUUUGUUUGUUUGUUUGUUUUUUUGUGAAUUAAUCCAGUAGCAUUGCAUAAAUUUAAACAAGAAAGCAAAAUGUUGAUACAGGAACACUUCUACUCAGCUUACAUUCUCUUCUUAUAACCAUUAAUUCACUCUGCUUGUAAGCAUCCAUAAAGGUUUUUACCUUUGUAGCCAUUUCCUGCUAUGGAUGCCUGUAGCCCAUCUGAUGCUGUCAGACACGCAUCACUCCUGAACUCUGAUCCCUUCUUUGGUCUCUCACUUUGCUUCUAGUAUAAGGUUUGGUUCUAACUUUCAAAGCCAUUGAUGCAUCCUCUCUUGGCUACAGCAGAGAUAGCAUCUUUUUCUCUCAAUAGGACUGCAGCAUUCUUUUCAUCAACAAAAAUCAAAAGCCAACGAUAAUGUUAUAAUAACUAACAAGGAAGAAGAGGAAGUUGACUGCAUAAUAAAGUGGCAUGUACCAGAAUCAGGAAAAAUGGAUUGGACUUUGAAGGAUAGAGAGCAUAAUUAUAUAUGUCAUUUUGACCAUACUGCUGAUCAGCUUUUUCAAUACCAAGGGCCUCUGUUUCCAUCUGAGGACAUUUCUCCUACUUUGUAGUGUGGAAAUGGCAGAUGAGUUGAACAGCUAGGAAACCAUAACCCAUCUUGAAUUCAUUCCAUCCUGGGAGAGAGCAAUAUGAAAAGAAGACAGUGUUGAUAAAUGAAGUAUUUGUUCAGCAAGUAUAGACAGAUUAAAAACAACUUCUUGAUAAAACAGCAUCAAAAAACAUAUACAGAUCGUUUCUGCCUUCCCUCAUUGUUACCUAUCUGCUUUCAUUAAAUAAAAAUGCCAACGUGAUGAUGCUAAUCUAGUUCAGCUGCAGGAGCUCUUUGAUAGUAAGUUCAGAGAGGCUUUUCAUCCUUUAUGUUCUGUCCUGAUGGAGGACAGCAAAACAGGAAGUUCUCAUGCAUAGCUCCUUCCUCUUUAUAAUGGCAGAGUGGAAGAUAGCCAUCUGCAAUCUCAUGCCAUUAUACUGAAAAGUGCUGGCUCCUCUCAACUCCUCGCAACAGCUGUUCCUGAGUGCACAGCUUUGUCCUCAGCAGACAGCUGGCUCUGCUGCUAUUGGUGGGAAGUGAUCUGUUUGCACAGAGUCAGGGCUAAAAGGGAACCCAGAUAUGAUCUGGUCCCUCCUCUGGCCGUGAGGCCGGACUGGCACUUUGGACGGCUGUUAGGGCUGGCAGCCAGAGAUCUUGUUUGUGAGAGCCAAGUUAAGCUGUCUGUCCUAAAUUAGGAGACCUGUUAGAUUUCACUGUGUGCAGUGGCAGUUUAAUGACCAGUUGUUUUUCAGCCUUUAAACUACGUCAAUUUAUUUAAACAAUGUGAUUUUGUGAAAAUGUAAACUUUACAUGAGAAAUUCAUCAUGAAUAUGGUGGCUUGAUUUUUACUAACGCAAUUUUCUCUUUUUAUUUUCCAGUUGCAUUUUUCGAAGUCUCUGCUACCUCCUGCAACAGCUUUGUUAGGACAGAAACAUUAAAAUCUAUCACUUGGAUUCCUUAGCUGUACAACUGCAAUGUAUAUGGGACUUCAAAAUAAAUAAGGCAGACCUCAAACAGGAGUAAAUUCUUUCCAAAUGGCUCAAAGGCACAAAGCUGCACGCUGGGGAAGAAAACAGCUCUGAUGAUAGGACUCCUUCUGGCAGACUCUGAACAUUUCAAAACUAGACUGUGAUUUAAUUCUGACCAUACGACUGCAGUUGUCAUAGCAAUAAAAUGAAGGUACAUUGUCAAAUAGCCUUCAAACAGCCGACACAGACCUGGUAAUUCCAUUUCUAAUCCUUUUACCCUACAUGUAGACACCGUAGAGGAAGACUAGUGAAGAGCUCACAACAGUUAAUCAUCUUCUCAACCACUUUACUAAGUUUUCUAUCGCUGAGCUGCAGGAUGUUUUUCCUGUUUUCUUGCCAGCCUUCUCCAAAGUAGCAUCAGCUAAGCUGACCAUGUGGCCUAGGAGUUGCAUGAUAUCACUUGGUAAUAUACACUGUAUCUGAAUACGAUGAAAAAGUCUUUUCUCACAUUUUCAGAAGUAUCUAUGAGGCUUUCCUUUGGCUGAGGGCUCCCAUCUGCCACACGGCUCCUAUCUGCUUUCCGUUGGUAAUGAGGGACAUGGUUUAGUGGGGAAAUACUGGCAAUAGAUGGACUAGAUGAUCCUGGAGGUCUUUUCCAACCUUGGUGAUUCUGUGGUUCUCACCAGGUAUGCCUGCAUCCAGCACAGCUAGGUCUGGUGGGAGAGCAUGCAUUUCCCAUGUCAUGGUGAGAUACACAGCUAUGACAAAGGAGGGAGACUGAAGAUGCAAGAGGUAUGUUUUUAGUCAUCUUUAGAGUUCACUGUACAUUGCAGCUUCAGUGACUGUGUAGCUGACUAAACAUUAACGCUCACUCACUUUACUUUAAGGGAGAUGCUGCGAAAGUGAGGCAGUCGAGGAUCCUUUAAUAUGUACUUACUGACACGUAAUUCAUUUUCAUUGUUUUAACUAGCUGCUGUCCCCAUUUUAUGACUGCAGUAGUAUGCUGACCUUGGACUCUUUUUUAGAGAAAACUGCUGAAAACCUGAGCCAGGUAAUAGACAACGCCUCCAGGGGGGACAGAUGCAAUGCUGGAUCUGUUGCUCACCAGCAUGAGUGAACCAAUUGGUGACAUCAUGAUUGGAAGCUGCCUGCACUGUAGUGACCACGCAGUGGUGGAGUUCAUGCUCUUGAGGGAUACUGGAUAGGCAAAGAGUAAAAUCAGAAAGCUUAUUUUUAGGAAAGCCAACUCCCAGUUCUUCAGGGAGUCAGUCAACAAAACCCCCUGGGAAUCUGUCUUCAAGGACAAGGGAGCAGAGCAGAGCUGGCAGAUCUUUAAGGAAGCCAUCCUCAUGGCAUAAGAACUCUCUUUCCCUAGAUGAAAAAAUCAAGAAAAAAGGCAAGAGACCAGCAUGGCUGAACCAGGACCUGCUGGUCAAACUGGAGAGCAAGAAGAAAAUGCACAUGUGUAAACUGAGGCUAUGGAGGAAAAAUGGGAAAAAGCAUUGUUGUUGCGUGGUUUGGACUGAAAGCAGCAGGCUUGCGUAGUAACACAGCUUGUUUGAUCAUGUGUAUAACCAAACUCUGACUUGAAGCUGCAUGUAACGAUUACUCAGUAUUUAAGCUAUACUUUCCCACCAAGUAACUCUUUCAAAAGAAUCUCCCUACCUCAUGUUGUUAUAAAGUGGUGAAGAGAAAGCUCAGUAACCAAAACAACAAGCAUGGAACAAUGCUUCUGGAACAAUUGUUUAUUGACUUAAAUUUAUUAUUUUUUAAAAAACUUCUCACUAGCCAGCCCGCCAUCACUGUGUUUAAAUCUAGCUUAGGAAAAGGUGGUCUUGAAAGUUCUAAAAACCUUAGCAAGUCCUAAUAGUCCAUCCUUCUUCCAGUACAAAUAGCAUUGUGGAGUAAUUCCUUGAGACAUUUAUGUUUCUCUUGGUACAUGCCACAUUUCCUAGCUCACAAGCAUGCUGCAUUAAAAAGCACAAAUGAUUUCCACUGCUAACUUUAAGCUUCAUUUAGGAGAAAACUUUAGGAAUUUUGCUUAAGUCCACUCUCACCACUGGGACUGCGUAAGCAUCUGUAAAACAACCUUUGAUUCUUGCAGAGACAGGAUUUUCUAUGCUUAAUUCAAAGAAAUCUUUGAGGGUGCCGGAUGUCUUGAAAUGACAAAUUAACACACACAAACAUGAAGAAGCUCUGCUAAACACCGUGCUUUUUAUUUUUCAGGAAAAAGCAAGAAAAUAGCAGUAUUUCAACAGACUAGAAAAAGCCUCAUAUAAAUACCAAAAGCACAGCAAAUCAUAUUCGCAGCUGAUACAUUCCUAGGUCAAAGCAUCAAGUUGCAUGCACAUGUAUGUGUGUACACAUACACAACACAUACAUGCACACAGCAGUUUAAAUAUAGAUGUAGCCAUUUGGAUUAUUUGCAUCUGACUUAUUUAUUUUAGUUUUGUGUGAGAGAAGUAAUUAGACCAGAAUUAACAAAAAGAAAUCCAGCAAUUUUCACAGACUAGUUUAAAAGCUUAAACACAUACACAAUUACAGCACAGUCUUUACUCUUGUGGCCAUUAAAUUCCACCUAAAAUAAACCAGUUUUAGAGAGAAUGCACAAAACUCCACCCUGAAGGUCUCCUUGCUUUUAUCACUGCAACAUCCUAGCAUUUGCUAAAAAACUAAGAGAAUAGCUACCCCAGAAAUUGAUUUCGAAUUCAUUCUGUAAACUGUAUGCAUGCCAGACGUAAACCAUGCAAAAACCCCUUGAGCUUUAAGCCCUUAUUAUUAGCUUGUGUCAUGAGUCAGGCACUGUGAUUUACAGCAUUUUUAAAAUGAAAGCUAAAUGAAAAUCACAUUGGGAGCUGGUUUUUACUUAAAACAGAAAUGAGGGAAGAGUAAGAUAGUUGGCAACUCACGUAUUCCACACUAAUUAAGUGUUACAGGUACAUGCUAUGAAAUUUUAAAAAGAAAAUUGAGUGCUUUAAGUUCUGAAAACAAAAAUAAGUUAUACUUCAAAGAACAAGUCAGUAUAAAAAGUUUUAACGUAUGCAAAGUAUGUGCUCAAAAUAUUUAUUUUGCGUUUUUAAAAAGAGCUGUAAUCUACCUUACAGAAACAAAGUUCACCCAAUACAAAAUAUUGCAAUUUGUCCCAUUUUGUCAUAUGAGAGCUCUCCCUCAUAUGAUCCAGAACACUUGCACAAGAGUUCACGUUAUUCCAAGCCACACAGUGGCAGACAGACUAUGUUUGAUUCUGUGCUUUUACUCCGCAGUACAGUAAAAGCUAAGCAAACCAUUUC
This is a non-coding RNA of Meleagris gallopavo (turkey), 4964 nucleotides long. Lineage: Eukaryota; Metazoa; Chordata; Aves; Galliformes; Phasianidae. The record is from RefSeq and is a predicted model, not a curated record.